This 253-nucleotide ribosomal RNA is filed under the name uncultured bacterium. RNAcentral describes it as "partial 16S ribosomal RNA". It matches the Rfam family "Bacterial small subunit ribosomal RNA", at positions 524 to 776 of the family's 1533-position model. The record is from RNAcentral.
UACAGAGGUCCCGAGCGUUGUUCGGAUUCAUUGGGCGUAAAGGGUGCGUAGGCGGUCUUCUAAGUUUGAUGUGAAAUUCCGGGGCUCAACCCUGGCAUGGCAUUGAAUACUGGAGGACUAGAGUACCGGAGAGGAAACUGGAAUUUACGGUGUAGCAGUGAAAUGCGUAGAGAUCGUAAGGAAGACCAGUGGCGAAGGCGGCGCGCUGGACCACUACUGACGCUGAGGAACGAAAGCUAGGGGAGCAAACAGG